Molecule: ribosomal RNA, 498 nt
Filed under: uncultured bacterium
Lineage: Bacteria
Description: partial 16S ribosomal RNA
Rfam family: Bacterial small subunit ribosomal RNA
Source: RNAcentral
AUUGAACGCUGGCGGCAUGCUUUACACAUGCAAGUCGAACGGUAACAGGCCGCAAGGUGCUGACGAGUGGCGAACGGGUGAGUAAUGCAUCGGAACGUGCCCAGUCGUGGGGGAUAACUAUCCGAAAGGAUAGCUAAUACCGCAUACGAUCUGCGGAUGAAAGCGGGGGACCUUCGGGCCUCGCGCGAUUGGAGCGGCCGAUGUCAGAUUAGGUAGUUGGUGGGGUAAAGGCUCACCAAGCCAACGAUCUGUAGCCGGUCUGAGAGGAUGACCAGCCACACUGGGACUGAGACACGGCCCAGACUCCUACGGGAGGCAGCAGUGGGGAAUUUUGGACAAUGGGCGCAAGCCUGAUCCAGCAAUGCCGCGUGCAGGAAGAAGGCCUUCGGGUUGUAAACUGCUUUUGUACGGAACGAAAAGCCCCGGGUUAAUACCCUGGGGUCAUGACGGUACCGUAAGAAUAAGCACCGGCUAACUACGUGCCAGCCGCCGCCGUAA